This is a long non-coding RNA of Alligator mississippiensis (American alligator), 2195 nucleotides long. RefSeq lists it as uncharacterized. The transcript is spliced from 3 exons. NCBI's taxonomy places the organism in Eukaryota, Metazoa, Chordata, Crocodylia, Alligatoridae. The record is from RefSeq and is a predicted model, not a curated record.
GGAGGUGUGUGGCAGUGCACUGUGUGUGCCUGCCACUUUAAGGGCCUGGAGCUGGCAGCCUCCAGGUGCCUGAUUAGGGCAGCCAUUUUAGAGGCAAGGGCUGCUUAUAUAAGGAGGGCAGUUUGGCUGCUGGAGGCCAGGCAGCAACAUUGCCUGGCUGGAGUGCUGCUGAGAUCACCGGAGCUUCCUCCUGGUCAAGCCAACACUGAUGAAGUUUGCCGUACAGAAAUCUUGUCAAGUAUUUCUUACCAUGGAUACAAGUACAUAAUCAACAUGAACAGAAGAACAAAGGGCCAAAAACUAUAUAUGAUAACAUUUCUACAGGAGUGGAAGACUGAGUCAAUGAUAAAAAAUGUGUAAUUUAUAACAAAAGAUAUAGAGGCGUGAGAACAGUAUGGGUGUGCAUUUGGUCUUAAUCACAGGUGAGAGGGCAGCUCUGAUUCGAAACUAGAACUCCCCUUCCCCCAACUGCUUUAACUCAAGGGGACUUUUGCCAAGAAAAUAGCCUGAUGCUUCAAGAACAGCAGUGGAAUCAGUCACUUAAUUUUUUUAAGAAAUCCAAAAUUCUUCAAGAAAAAAAAAAAAGUCCCGCUUUGCUUUGCUCAACUGAAGAUUUCUUUGCUACAUCUGCCAUACUAAGCUGUAUCAUUCAUCACAGGUAUUUAAACCACCUCCCUAUCCCAGCAUUAAAAGAAGCUUCUGUACAUAACACUUGCAGAGAAUAAUUUUCAUUGGUGGUAGUAGUAUUACAAUACCAAGGAGCGCUCUCACGGGCCAGGACCUUACUGAGAUUAGAGUUCAAUCUUGGAAAAACAGGGCUUGAAGGAACCUAGGGAGAUCAUCUAAUCCAGCCCUCUCCUCAAGGCAGGAUCAUCCCUGACUAAACCAUCUUAAGUCAAGUAUUUUGUCCAACAAAUUGAGCAAAGAGAGAGCAAAAAGAUGGUCUUUACCUCACACCGCUUGCUAUCUAAAGCAAGUGAUGAAGCAAAGGAGUACAGAUAAACAAAAUAAAGUAAGAUAAUAUUAGUCAACAUGAUUGAUACUGGUGUCAGCACAUCAGCAGUCUAACUGUUGUCAAGUACAAUAUAGGCAUAAUGGUACUGGAGAGUCUUAUGGAAGGAUCAGAAGGAGAAUAGUAAAGUAGCUUUACAGCAACGUAUAGUGAACUCCUCCCCAGUCUAAGGGACAGCAUGGGAGAAACUGCAAUGGUGCUUAUUUGAAAAUGUAAUAACUUAAUGGAAGCUCUCAUCAUAGACUGAUUAGUGGCAGAGAUGCAAAGAGGGUGACAUGGAAAAUGAUGUGCAGCAGCAAUCUGAAUGAAUACAUGCAGGACAAGAGUGUAUUUAUUAAAGCCAGAGGGGAAAAAAAAUGCUGCACUGAGAAAUGAGAUUAUGAGAUCCUGUAUGAAAGUUUCAGGUACAUCAAAAAAAUAGAAAAGCCUUAAUCUUCUUAGAGAUGUUGGAAUGAAAAAAAAUAUAUGCAAGAGUCAGAUAUAGACUGGAGGCAGACUUAGAGAGACAUCCCUGUUGAUUAGGACACUCAGAUUAUGGACCUGGGUGAUAAACAGGAUGUUGCUGAAAUUUCCAUUUCCUCAUUGAGUUACCUAGCUGUCAGAGAGACAGACUGAGAUUUUAGUUUGGACAGAACAUAAGUGUGAAGUAAAAGAUCUACACAUUGGCUGCCCAGACAGCUGAAUUUGUAUUUCUCAGUGAGAUUACACAGGUUUGAAAUGCAGAGGGAGAGAAGGAAGAGAUGAAGAGCCCUAUGGAACCGUGACAAAAAAUUGGCAGGAGGGAGACGGGGAUCCUUCAAGGAACAUGCUGAUGGAACCAAAAAAACCCCCCAAAACAAAAGCCUGGAAGCCAAGAGAGGACAGGAUGCAGUUUCAAGAAGAAGAAUAUGAUUAAAUGUGCUGGAGUGAGCUGAUAGAUUAAUGACAAUGAGAAUGGAGGACUGGCUCUAAAACAAGAUGAUUAGAGUUUAAGUGGUUACAAUGAACACAACAGGACGCUGCUGGACUGACCAGUCACUGAGUCGGAACUGGGAAAGAGAGGAACACAUCAGUAUUUGUGAAUAGUGGGCGCAUAUACAUGAGACGCGGUUUACUGCAGAGCUGCCUUCCACUGUAAAGUCUCAAUGUCUAGACAUGCAUGGCUCUAUUAGGCCACACUUGUAAAUAAAAGUACUAUCCUGUG